AUUGAACGCUGGCGGCAGGCCUAACACAUGCAAGUCGAACGAGUGGCGGACGGGUGAGUAAUGUCUGGGAAACUGCCUGAUGGAGGGGGAUAACUACUGGAAACGGUAGCUAAUACCGCAUACCAUCAGAUGUGCCCAGCAGGGAUUAGCUAGUUGGUGGGGUAACGGCUCACCAAGGCGACGAGCCCUAGCUGGGCUGAGAGGAUGACCAGCCACAUGGGACCUGAGACACGGCCCAGACUCCUAGGGGAGGCAGAAGUGGGGAAUAUUGGACAAGGGGCGCAAUCCUGAUGCAGCAAUGCCGGGUGGAGGAAGAAGGCCUUCGGGUUGUAAAGUACUUUCAGCGGGGAGGCGUUACCCGCAGAAGAAGCACCGGCUAACUCCGUGCCAGCAGCCGCGGUAAUUC
Molecule: ribosomal RNA, 406 nt
Filed under: uncultured bacterium
Lineage: Bacteria
Description: partial 16S ribosomal RNA
Rfam family: Bacterial small subunit ribosomal RNA
Source: RNAcentral